Triticum aestivum (bread wheat) is the source of this 114-nucleotide non-coding RNA. The record is from Rfam. Lineage: Eukaryota; Viridiplantae; Streptophyta; Magnoliopsida; Poales; Poaceae.
GUAGUACUCCCUUCGUCCGGAAAUACUUGUCAUCAAAACGAGUAAAAGGGGAUAUAUCUACUUCCCCUUUUAUCUAUUUUGAUGACAAGUAUUUUCGGAUGGAGGGAGUACUUA